Molecule: long non-coding RNA, 1241 nt
Filed under: Manihot esculenta (cassava)
Lineage: Eukaryota; Viridiplantae; Streptophyta; Magnoliopsida; Malpighiales; Euphorbiaceae
Description: long non-coding RNA (MESC_LNC003515)
Source: RNAcentral
AAAGAUGAGUAAAUCAAUAAGAGAGAGAUUCUAGCUGAAUUGUGAGAGUUAUUCAGUUUGUUCAGAAUUGAUCAUUGAUUUCUUAAAGACUCCUAUUUGACUUCAAUAAAUUAGUUUUGGUUGUGGAAAACGCUUCUCACAAUCCAAAUUCCUCCUUAGUUCUAGUUUGAUUAGGAAACGUUCGCUAAUCAAACACUAAUCAACAAGUUGCCAAGGAACGUCCUUGGGGCAUUGUAGCAUCGAACAACUGUUGAUUGCAUUAAGACUUAGAGAAACCUAAUUCUAUCCUUGCCAACCGCGUGGUCAAGUUUAGAUUAUGCAACCUGAUUAAAUGUGUAUUUGAACAACCUAAGCAAUUACGGACCUAAACCAUUCAAACAAUAUCACUUAGCAAAUUAGAAGCAAUGGGCCCUUAUUGAUUCUAAAAGCAAGUAAUAUUUAUAGAAGAGAUCAGAUUGCAUAAAUAUUGAAACAAACAAGAGUUCAACAAUGGAGUAUUAAACCUCCCAAUUCAUCACAAUUCUGAAUAUUCACAACUUCAACUAGAAACAAGGAACUUAGCCACUCAUGGUGGACUAAAUACACAAAGAGAUGAAAAGAAAAUAAAGAAAAACAACUGCAGAGUUUCUGGCGAGGGAGAGAUGCUGGAUGAGGCUGAUCAGAAGAUAAGAUUGCUGGCUUGGAGGCUCUCCUUUUAUAGUUGCAGAAUUUUAAUCAUCUAGGGUUUCAAAAUCCCUUUUUGAUUUGAUCUUGGACUCCUCUUUUGAUGUUGAAUUUGAUUGUAAUUGGAAUUCCUUGGGUGAGAGACUCUUUCGUGGCUCUUGGUCUUGUGUUGGAAGUGAUUGGAUUGGAUUUGGACUUCUGAAAAAUCGAAUUUCUGUUUUCUGUCCAUUUUCCCGCUCUGCUGUAAGUUUCUGCUGUCAAAGUGAUUUGCCCUGUGAUUUGGGCGAGCAGUGGGCAAAUCACUGGGCAGAUCACUGCCUCUGUGAGUCAGUCCUCUAUGUCUCUGCGAGUGAUUUGGCCAAUGAUCUUCGAGUGUCUGGGGCAAAUCACUGGGCAAAUCACUGCUGCCUGUUGCCUCCGGGUUUCUGCUUUAGCUUGAUCGGGGCAGUGAUUGGAGCAGAUUCUUGGGCAAAUCACUGGGCAAAUCAUCCUUUUGUGAAUUUUCUGCACUUUUUCUUCCCUUUUCCAGUUUCUUCCUUUUCUGUAAAAACAAGAUAAAAACCAUAAAUUAAACUGAA